RNAcentral lists this long non-coding RNA (232 nucleotides) under Elaeis guineensis (African oil palm). RNAcentral's name for it is "long non-coding RNA (EGUI_LNC017761)". Lineage: Eukaryota; Viridiplantae; Streptophyta; Magnoliopsida; Arecales; Arecaceae. The record is from RNAcentral.
GGCUCCUACACAGUUCUCUUUCUGUUCCAUUCGAUCUCUCUUGUUCUCCCAUUCUUUUUUCAUUCCUGUUCUCAAAGCUCGAACUGAGUUAAGUAUUGAAGAGUCAGAAAUUAGAGAAUUUUUAUCUGAUUUUUUGAUUAAUUUUAUAAAUUAAAAAAAUUUCUAUCAGAUUGUAAGGAUCAUUCCAACCUAAUUUUAUUCGAUUUAAUCAGUCCUAUUCUAAAUUUUGAGU